RNAcentral lists this ribosomal RNA (492 nucleotides) under uncultured bacterium. RNAcentral describes it as "partial 16S ribosomal RNA". It matches the Rfam family "Bacterial small subunit ribosomal RNA", at positions 29 to 507 of the family's 1533-position model. The record is from RNAcentral.
AGUGAACGCUGGCGGUAGGCCUAACACAUGCAAGUCGAACGGCAGCACAGUAAGAGCUUGCUCUUACGGGUGGCGAGUGGCGGACGGGUGAGGAAUACAUCGGAAUCUACUUUUUCGUGGGGGAUAACGUAGGGAAACUUACGCUAAUACCGCAUACGACCUACGGGUGAAAGCAGGGGAUCUUCGGACCUUGCGCGAUUGAAUGAGCCGAUGUCGGAGUAGCUAGUUGGCGGGGUAAAGGCCCACCAAGGCGACGAUCCGUAGCUGGUACGAGAGGGUGAUCAGCCACACUGGAACUGAGACACGGUCCAGACUCCUACGGGAGGCAGCAGUGGGGAAUAUUGGACAAUGGGCGCAAGCCUGAUCCAGCCAUACCGCGUGGGUGAAGAAGGCCUUCGGGUUGUAAAGCCCUUUUGUUGGGAAAGAAAAGCAGCAGGUUAAUACCCCGCUGUUCUGACGGUACCCAAAGAAUAAGCACCGGCUAACUUCGUG